CACCUUGGCAAAUAGGAGAGUCUUUGCUCAGAGAAUACACACGUACGACGAUGCAAAGGAAGGCAAGCAAAAUCAGACCAUCGGACCGCUGCUAGAGCGGAGAGCUUCACGUUCAUCAUUCGCUCAUUCUCACACAUCAUAAGACUCAUCGAAGGGGUGAGCAUACGAUUGCGACGAAGAGCAUGAUUAGUUUUACCCAGUUCGCGCACAACGCUGCACGCAAUAGACCGUCGCCGGUCAGUGUCAUCCAGUUCGUAGGGACGCCAAUUAAAGACACGGCAGAAAAUUGUCUGGUCCGCGAGAAAAGCAUCCGCUUUGCCGAAUUUUCAGCAGUAAAAUCACUGAAUGCAAGGGAAAAUCACAGUCUGGAGUGUGGACGCUAGCGCCGCCAUCUUGCAAGGAAGCCGGCAAAGAAUACCCGGUGCAGACAAUAAUUUUAUCCUGCUCAUUGGGCAACUAGCCACAGCUGAACAGUUUGACAUCCACGAGAAAGCAAGGCCAUCGUGCGAUUCAUCAAACCGUGAGAGAAGUUCUUCGGAACAAAUCACGUGGCGGAUUGCUUAGACCAAG
This is a long non-coding RNA of Topomyia yanbarensis, 570 nucleotides long. RefSeq lists it as uncharacterized. The record is from RefSeq and is a predicted model, not a curated record. The transcript has 3 exons. NCBI's taxonomy places the organism in Eukaryota, Metazoa, Arthropoda, Insecta, Diptera, Culicidae.